RNAcentral lists this ribosomal RNA (350 nucleotides) under uncultured microorganism. Its description in RNAcentral is "bacterial SSU rRNA". It matches the Rfam family "Bacterial small subunit ribosomal RNA", at positions 368 to 708 of the family's 1533-position model. The record is from RNAcentral.
GCAAUGCCCGAAAGGGUGACUAUGCGACGCCGCGUGAGCGAUGAAGUCCUUCGGGACGUAAAGCUCUGUCAGGUGGGAUGAAUUUUUCGACCUUAACAGGGUUGGAAUUUGACCGUACCACCAGAGGAAGCCACGGCUAACUCCGUGCCAGCAGCCGCGGUAAUACGGAGGUGGCAAGCGUUGUUCGGAUUUAUUGGGUGUAAAGGGCAUGUAGGUGUCCUAGUAAGUCCUGGCUAGAAAUCCUUCGGCUCAACCGAAGAACGUGUCAGGAAACUGCGUGGGAUUGAGUACGGAAGAGGAGAACGGAAUUCCGGUGUAAGGGUGAAAUCUGUAGAUAGUCGGGAGGAACA